UCUGAGGAAUGAGAAUCCUGACCUGAGGGC
This 30-nucleotide non-coding RNA is filed under the name Homo sapiens (human). Lineage: Eukaryota; Metazoa; Chordata; Mammalia; Primates; Hominidae. The record is from RNAcentral.